GGGAGUAUAGCCAAAGUGGAAAGGCGAAGGUCUGCAAAACCUUAUAUUCUGGUUCGAGUCCAGAUACUCCCUCCU
This 75-nucleotide transfer RNA is filed under the name Lysinibacillus macroides. Its description in RNAcentral is "tRNA-Cys". It matches the Rfam family "tRNA". From Rfam's summary of the family: Transfer RNA (tRNA) molecules are approximately 80 nucleotides in length. Their secondary structure includes four short double-helical elements and three loops (D, anti-codon, and T loops). Further hydrogen bonds mediate the characteristic L-shaped molecular structure. tRNAs have two regions of fundamental functional importance: the anti-codon, which is responsible for specific mRNA codon recognition, and the 3' end, to which the tRNAs corresponding amino acid is attached (by aminoacyl-tRNA synthetases). tRNAs cope with the degeneracy of the genetic code in two manners: having more than one tRNA (with a specific anti-codon) for a particular amino acid; and 'wobble' base-pairing, i.e. permitting non-standard base-pairing at the 3rd anti-codon position. Lineage: Bacteria; Bacillati; Bacillota; Bacilli; Caryophanales; Bacillaceae. The record is from RNAcentral. RNAcentral also lists the same sequence under 1 other name.